AAACAUUAGAGAAGAAGAAGAAGCUUACGUCAUUCGACGCGACACUUUCCACGGUCGGAGCUGAUCCGGAUCACAUACACAGGAGUCACUCAUUGAAGAUGAAUCACAGCUGGACAGGGAUCUUCGAAUAAUUGAGAGACACCAUGGUGUAAAACGAAGGCGGCUCCCUUCGGAUGACAUUUUCCAGAGAACACUGAGAGAUGUUGACCAGGAACUUAGAGGUCAGCUGAUACGACGAGCACAAAAUGAAGCAAGGGAGAGGGCCACUCUUCUCAACCUGAAAAGAAGAUGUAAUGGUAACACUACUUCUUCUCUUGACUGUAUGGUCAUUAGCAAAAUUGAAGCUCAAAGGUCUUGUGGUAAACCUAAAUUUAAUCUUUAUGUUAUCCCUGCACCAUGCAUAUGUUCACUCUAGGUACUUAAGCGUCUUUAUGCAGUGUAAGAAGUGACUGGUUUAUUCCAACUUGUCCUUUGUCAUGGGUAUGUGCUUUUGAUAUGUAUAAGGUUAUUUAUCUUUGGUGUAUGAAUAUGUUUCUUGGGUGUAUCCUGUCUUUCACCUAAUGCCCGUUGUAAAUAGGCACAGAUAAGUGAGUAUUGUAAUACAUCCAUUUUCUAAUGGACAUUCAAUGAUCUUAUACAUUACGGCAGAUAUUGAGUCACUGUAAGAACUAUCAGUCUUUAUAUUCUGAGGAUAACUUUUUUAAGAGUACAAUUAAAAUAUCAUUCAAUUAUUGGCAGUAAUAGAUUUUGACCUACAAACUGAGAUUUCCUUAUGCGAACUUUAGUGUCAUGUUGAAUAUCUUGUGUAGAAUUGGCUCCCACUACUUGUGUUCACAACAUCCAAAUUGAGAUAAACACUAUUUCAGAUGUCAACCUUUUAUUAUGUUUAACAUACUUCCAUAAAUGACUAUUGUAUCAUGUUUUCAUAUUGUG
Gambusia affinis (western mosquitofish) is the source of this 933-nucleotide long non-coding RNA. RefSeq lists it as uncharacterized. The transcript is spliced from 3 exons. NCBI's taxonomy places the organism in Eukaryota, Metazoa, Chordata, Actinopteri, Cyprinodontiformes, Poeciliidae. The record is from RefSeq and is a predicted model, not a curated record.